UAGUUGAACUCGGUAGCAGAGAGGUGCUCAUUGAUCGAUGCUAGAAGGUGACUGUCGAUUGUCGGUUGAUUCUCUCUGUUGAUCGGCGACUGGGUCACUCUGUCGAUCGAUGUUUAGACGUAAGGGUUUGGGUGGAUGAGGGUGCUUAGCUGCGAACUCUUCAUGGGUCAUGAAUCUCACCAUCUCGCAUGAUGCCACUGACUCCGUCGAUCGAUGUUGAACAACAGGUAUUGGUCGGUCGACACCAAUGUGAACUGUCGAAGCUCAUAGAUUUUUAAACUUCGAAAUCUUCCUCCUGAAGCUUCUUCUCAUUAACCACUUGCCAUAAAUCAUCCUCUAUGAUGGCAUUCACGUGGUACUUUAGUGCUUCAUCUCAUUUACCCUUGAUUAAGGUAUCUUGCCUCUUAACAUCAUCUCCUCUCUGAACCACUUGUGUAUCCAACUUCUGCACAUGUGUAUUCAAAGUUUCAAACUUUGUAUUCAGCUCUGUGUAGACAACAUAUAUCUUCUCAUUGACAUUCACCAUCAGCUUCUGCUGACCCUCAAGAACUUGAUCAAUCAUUGCUUCUAUCUUGCUCCCUCGAGUCUGUGGUACUACGUUCUGAUAGGAAGAAUUUCCAUAGUUUUUGUUGCUACUGCUGUUGAAGUUGCUGCUAUAGGGUUUCUGGAACUGCAAACUCUACUUGAAGUUACUCCUCUCUCCAUUGCCAUAAUAGUUUAUGUAUUCAUUGACCCUCAAGAACU
This 744-nucleotide long non-coding RNA is filed under the name Brassica napus (rape). RNAcentral describes it as "long non-coding RNA (BNAP_LNC025489)". Lineage: Eukaryota; Viridiplantae; Streptophyta; Magnoliopsida; Brassicales; Brassicaceae. The record is from RNAcentral.